RNAcentral lists this ribosomal RNA (485 nucleotides) under uncultured bacterium. RNAcentral describes it as "bacterial SSU rRNA". It matches the Rfam family "Bacterial small subunit ribosomal RNA", at positions 62 to 543 of the family's 1533-position model. The record is from RNAcentral.
UCGAGCGGCAGCGCGGGGCAACCUGGCGGCGAGCGGCGAACGGGUGAGUAAUGCAUCGGAACAUGUCCAUGUCGUGGGGGAUAGCCCGGCGAAAGCCGGAUUAAUACCGCAUACGCCCGAGAGGGGAAAGUGGGGGACCGCAAGGCCUCACGCGAUUGGGUUGGCCGAUGUCCGAUUAGCUAGUUGGCGGGGUAAGAGCCCACCAAGGCGAUGAUCGGUAGCUGGUCUGAGAGGAUGAUCAGCCACACUGGGACUGAGACACGGCCUAGACUCCUACGGGAGGCAGCAGUGGGGAAUUUUGGACAAUGAGGGCAACCCUGAUCCAGCCAUUCCGCGUGAGUGAAGAAGGCCUUCGGGUUGUAAAGCUCUUUUGUCCGGAACGAAACGGGUAGGUCUAAUACGCCUGCCUACUGACGGUACCGGAAGAAUAAGCACCGGCUAACUACGUGCCAGCAGCCGCGGUAAUACGUAGGGUGCGAGCGUUA